GAUGAACGCUGGCGGCGUGCCUAAUACAUGCCAGUAGAACGCUGAAGGAGGAGCUUGCUCUUCUGGAUGAGUUGCGAACGGGUGAGUAACGCGUAGGUAACCUGCCUGGUAGCGGGGGAUAACUAUUGGAAACGAUAGCUAAUACCGCAUGACAACAGUUAUUGCAUGAUAACUGUUUAAAAGGGGCAACUGCUCCACUACCAGAUGGACCUGCGUUGUAUUAGCUAGUUGGUGAGGUAACGGCUCACCAAGGCGACGAUACAUAGCCGACCUGAGAGGGUGAUCGGCCACACUGGGACUGAGACACGGCCCAGACUCCUACGGGAGGCAGCAGGAGGGAAUCUUCGGCAAUGGACGGAAGGCUGACCGAGCAACGCCGGGUGAGUGAAGAAGGGUGUCGGAUCGGAAAGCUCUGUUGUAAGAGAAGAACGAGUGUGAGAGUGGAAAGUUCACACUGUGACGGUAUCUUAACAGAAAGGGACGGCUAACUACGUG
RNAcentral lists this ribosomal RNA (495 nucleotides) under uncultured bacterium. RNAcentral describes it as "partial 16S ribosomal RNA". It matches the Rfam family "Bacterial small subunit ribosomal RNA", at positions 28 to 507 of the family's 1533-position model. The record is from RNAcentral.